This 276-nucleotide ribosomal RNA is filed under the name uncultured bacterium. RNAcentral describes it as "partial 16S ribosomal RNA". It matches the Rfam family "Bacterial small subunit ribosomal RNA", at positions 356 to 621 of the family's 1533-position model. The record is from RNAcentral.
AGGGAAUCUUCCACAAUGGACGAAAGUCUGAUGGAGCAACGCCGCGUGAGUGAUGAAGGGUUUCGGCUCGUAAAACUCUGUUGUUGGGAGAAGAACAGGUGUGAGAGUAACUGUUCACAUCUUGACGGUAUCCAACCAGAAAGCCACGGCUAACUACGGUGCCAGCAGCCGCGGUAAUACGUAGGUGGCAAGCGUUGUCCGGAUUUAUUGGGCGUAAAGCGAGCGCAGGCGGUUUUCUUAGGUCUGAUGUGAAAGCCUUCGGCUUAACCGGAGAAG